AAUGCCUCGUCAUCUAAU
Molecule: non-coding RNA, 18 nt
Filed under: Arabidopsis thaliana (thale cress)
Lineage: Eukaryota; Viridiplantae; Streptophyta; Magnoliopsida; Brassicales; Brassicaceae
Also listed under: 1 other name
Source: RNAcentral